Arabidopsis lyrata subsp. lyrata is the source of this 1449-nucleotide long non-coding RNA. RefSeq lists it as uncharacterized. The transcript has 2 exons. Lineage: Eukaryota; Viridiplantae; Streptophyta; Magnoliopsida; Brassicales; Brassicaceae. The record is from RefSeq and is a predicted model, not a curated record.
GACAACGUAAGUUUUAUUAAUCACAUAAAGAUAAAGGGAACUACAGAAUUCAUCUUCUACACAAUGGACAACUAGAAUGCCAUCUAGUUAUACAACUAAAAUGGAACAGGUGACCGCAUUCCAAACUGGCCAAUGGAAGUCUAGAGUGGCUAAAUUCUUCAAGACAUAUGGCGCAUUCUUCCCCAACUUCGAAAUUGAAGUUCUCGAUAGCAAUAGGUGAAUAUCUUGGAACAGUCUGUGUCUGAUCAGCAGUACCAACAUCUGGAAUGUUGGUGGGUAAACUCUGCUCAACUAGAGAAUUAUAAUAAGCUAUAAAACUAGUGACAAUGUAGUAUAAGAGAAAACCUAAAACUAAGCUACAGGCUAUAGCCAGAGUAACCCAACCAAACAACACCAGUGUUCUGUUCAGGUCAGUUGAUUUGUUAUUAUGUGUCACUGAAUCCAUGACAAAAACGUAAAGGUAACUUAGAGAGGAAGAAGAAAGCUUUGAGAUUUUUUGAAGAACCUGCCCUGUUGUUCUUUUCCACGUCGCUGCUGCGACUCAAACCUUUCUUUUUUUUUUCGUCAGCUGCGACUCAACCUUUUAGAAGAUUUGAGUUCUCAUCUUUUGUUUAGGUAGGUUACAGAGUAGUGCCGGCGAAACGUUGGAAAGGUGUGCAAUUGCAGAUAUCUAAAGAACCCGGCGAAUUCAACUCUACGUGGACAAGGGAAAGAUGGUUUUUUUUCUUAAAGUCUCAUUAUAUUGAGAGAAAGAACAAAACAAAAGAAAAGGAGACUCUCUUAGUGAAAUGGUUCGCUGGUAAGACGUCCGACUAAAAGAAAGGACUAAACGUUUCCCGUUCGGCGACCUCUUUCACCAUCGCAAAGUAGGUAUGGAAGACGACGCUUUAGCUUCCGCCGAUGAAAAUCAUAUCGGAGAUGGUGACGUUCCUCCAAUUACCGGAGGUCCAGAUGUCGAUGAGUCGCAAUCAUCUCAUCAGAUCAAUGUCGUCGCAACUGUGAGUUCGUUAUAUCUCUAAGAUUGAUUGGAACAUUGCUACAUUAGAUUGAUUCUCUUGGUUGAUGAUAGGAAAUUGAGGUAAAUUUGAUUCAUUCCGUAGUUUAUAAUGUCGAUGAGGAAAGGCAGAGUCUUUCGAAUCAAAAUAACACUGAGCUCCUGAUUUUGAUGAUGAUAAAAUAUCAAUUUUAUGGAUUGAUGAGACGUGACUUCUCCAAGAGCAAUUGAGGAUCGAAUGCUGAAUCCGUUUGAGCCUCCAUCGACAAGUUUCUGAAUUGGGUUUCACCAGUCGAGCAUUGAGGAUGGGAAGAGAGAAGAAGAAGGAAGAUGAGCAAUUGCGCAUAUCUUAAAAUACACAACAUGGAUAUAGUUUAGUCAAUUUUUAUUUCUCUUGCAAAUUUGAUAUAGUUUUGGUUGAUACAUAUUUGAUUCAUUAAGUACCACAAUUUCCA